Non-coding RNA from Podarcis lilfordi (Lilford's wall lizard), 69 nucleotides. NCBI's taxonomy places the organism in Eukaryota, Metazoa, Chordata, Lepidosauria, Squamata, Lacertidae. The record is from the annotation of a GenBank genome assembly.
GGAUAGCUCAGUCAGCAGAGCAUGAGACUCUUAAUCUCAGGGUUGUGGGUUCAAGCCCCAUGUUGGGCA